AUAGCGUAUAUUAAAGUUGUUGCAGUUAAAAAGCUCGUAGUUGAACUUCAGCUCUGGCCGGGCGGUCUGCCUCACGGUAUGUACUGUCUGGCCGGAGCUUACCUCUUGGUGAGCCCGCAUGCCCUUUACUGGGUGUGUGGGGGAACCAGGACUUUUACUUUGAGAAAAUUAGAGUGUUCAAAGCAGGCAAAUGCCCGAAUACAUUAGCAUGGAAUAAUAGAAUAGGACGUGCGGUUCUAUUUUGUUGGUUUCUAGAGUCGCCGUAAUGAUUAAUAGGGAUAGUUGGGGGCAUUAGUAUUGAGUUGCUAGAGGUGAAAUUCUUGGAUUUACUCAAGACUAACUACUG
This 346-nucleotide ribosomal RNA is filed under the name Sistotrema sernanderi. RNAcentral describes it as "SSU rRNA". It matches the Rfam family "Eukaryotic small subunit ribosomal RNA", at positions 594 to 945 of the family's 1831-position model. Lineage: Eukaryota; Fungi; Basidiomycota; Agaricomycetes; Cantharellales; Hydnaceae. The record is from RNAcentral.